UUGUUGUUAUUUAUCAAAAUUGCUUCAAUUAUUUAUUAAAUAUUUUUUGUUUGUUCGUUUGACCGGAACGUACGGAAUUCUGGGAUUUAAAAUGGCGGCAUAGGUUAUUAUUUUUCCCAAAGAAGAAAUGAUGCCGUGAUUUAAAGUUAAAUAAAGCUAUUCCACACAUACACACACGAUUUUGGAUUCAGCAAAGUAAAGUUGAAGAUCCUACAUGUAUAUUUGAGCACCCGUGGUGGCAGUAAUGACAAAGAAGUUCUAAAAAGAUUUAUAUGGGCUUUAUAAUGAAAGUUAGACAACACUACUACUUGCCAAACACUACUACUUGUCACAUAAUGUAAUGAUAUAAAUAUAUAUGUAUCUAUGGUAGCACAAAUAUCAUCAGAAUGUAGGCCAAAGCUUUACAAGCAUUGUAGGCCUAAAAUACUUUCUGUCUGAACUUUUGACAGUCAAUUCUUUGAUGACUAGUUAGUUUAGAGCAGAUAUCCUGUCACAGUAUUAUAUAACAGCUCUUUGGCUUAAAAUUUAAACUGAGUUGUAUCAGUGAGUUGAAAAUCAUCUGUGUUCCUGUUAUUGCUCCCUGCUGCAGCCAGUAAACAAUAACCUUUUGCGUUCCUUACAAAUCUUCCAAAUUUUACUGAUAGAUCAACCAUAGCAAAGAUCUCUAUUAAGAUUAUAUUUGUAAUGUGUGUAACAAAUUCUAUGACAUAGGUAUAAUAUUGGUGUAGUUAAGUAUAUACCAUAUUUAUGCACACAUUUCAAUAUUGGCAUAUUAUUAGUCUCUAUCAUCUAGAAAAAAAUAUUCUAUAUUCUACGAAUAUUAGUGUGGUUGCGUUGUCAACAUUUGAGAAUAAUUGGUCAUAGGCUAGAUUAUCCGGUCUUUUACAUUAUCAUAAACAAAGUCUAAGGGAGGUAACUAGUCCUAAAACAAGAUGUUGACGCCCAUGAAAUUUAUAUAAGAAUGCCAUUUCCGAAAAUCCAUUUGAUUGCAUGUUCAGUUCAAUAUCCAACACUCUUAAUUUUUUUUAUUGUAAAAUUUCUCUCUUCAUGGGCCAUAUCUAUGUUGUUUUUUUUAUUGAAUCCUAAUUCGUCAUCACUAUUCAUGUUUGUUUAUAAAUGCAAGUGUUAUUGACAACUGUCCCAGACCCUCAUUAUUUAUAUGGCCCAACUUUUCUUCGGGGUACACCGGCACGGUAUUAGACUAGGAUAAACAUUAGUCUUAUAUACCGCCUCUACUUAAUUAUGGAUGUAGGUCGGAAAAAUGUAAAAUUUGGCAAUUUGACUUAUACUAAACAUCGACUUAUGCUAUAACUGUUUCAAAUGACAAGUGCUAAAUGAAGUAUUUAUGUGGUCUUUGGUGAAAGAAAUGAAAUGAAAUGAAAUGAAAUGGGGUUUAACGUCCUACUGUUCUGCUCCUAACCUGGGCUAAUGAAGACGAGCAUAUGCCAUACAGUGUGCUAUGAGGGAAAUUUUGCCUGGGCAGCGGGGCUACGGCCUACUCUUAUAUCGAAUUCCAACUGCCAAGGGAUCUUUUACGUGCACGCCAAUGUCUACACGGGACCCCGUUUUUUUGUCCCAUAACGACUAGACAGCUGUCCUUGUCAGUCCCUCCGUCCUGCAUCACUGACAAGGGAAACCACGCCGGAAAAUCAGGAUGAACUUUCUCGGCCAAUACAGGGAUCAAACACCCGAUCUCCAGGCUAGCGAGCCAGCGUCUUACCCACUUAGCCACUUGAUCCCCCCCCUUUGGUGAAAGAGAGAGAGAGAGAGAAAUGGGGUUUACUGUCCACUGGACACAAACUAGGUCAUUUCGGGACUAACAUGGUUUAAUUUUUUAUUUACAUAAUUCGCUUGCGCGUAGGGGUCUUUAGCAGGGGGAGGAAACCGGACGACCCGGAGAAAACCCACGAGGUUGGACAGGCGACCCUACUCCUUGCCACGUACAACCGGGGAUUCGAAACCACGCCAGUCGACUCAAUGACAGACUUUAUGAUACACGCUAACCAUUCAGCCAUCCACCCCCCCCCCCCCUUUGGUGAAAGAAAACAGAGCUGUGGCUAGUGAAAUGAAAGUUUAACGUCCUACUGUUUUGCUCUGAACUGGGCUAAUGAAGAUGGGCAUACGCCAUACAGUGUGCUAUGUGGGAAAUUUUGCCCGGACAGUGGCACUACGGCCUUCUCUUAUAUCGAAUUCUAACUUCAAGGGCUCUUGUACGUGCACGCCAAUGUGUACAUGGGACCUCAUUUUUUUGUCCCAUUUUAAUGACUAGAUAGCUGUCUUGUCUAGCCCUCUGUUCUGCAUCACUGACAAGGGAGAACCACGCCGGAAAAUCUGGAGUAACUUUCUCGGCCAAUGCUAGGGUGGCCCAUGUACUCACAGAAAUACAGUCCACCGCUGAUAGUUCGAGACUACCACUGAAGCGUGCACAUUCGCCGUGCCGAGACCAACUUUCUGACAGUAAGAUACUAUAAAUAGCCAUGGCACGUGCAAUUUUCUACAAAUCUAUCAACUAUUACAGCCGUAAAAAAUUUAUUGUUGACGAUUUUGAAUAGCAGUAAAAUUAAGCUUCUUGGUUAUUACAGCAGAUUUAGAAAUUACGUUCGUUUCAUUUUUUAAAUCGCUUUAUCAUUAACUGUACAGUUAAGAGCGGCAUCUUUUGGUUUAGUACAAAUAAUAUCUCUGAAACACUCAGGUUAGGCAAGAACAUGAUACUAGCAGUAGUUUCAUUUUACUUUUACAAGCUUCUUAAAACGAUUGUUGAGCUACCUAACGUGCUUAUUUCUAAAUUCAAUUUCUUGUUCUAGCUUUCUGUUAUGUUUCGUAAAAAAGUAGUCUUGAUUAUCCCGACCUGUCAAUCAGACGUAGAAUGGUCGAUAGACUGGUUAAGCGAGACUAAUUUCAAAACAAGGGCACGUAACCUAUCUUUUACUCAAAAGUGUCUGGAUGUUAUGGACGACUCUUGGAACCAGUUUUCAGUCUAUUAUUUAUACGUGAUUAAUGGCCAUAGCUUAUUAAGUACAACAUGAUCGUUUAUUUAGUGACUAUAAUUGUGUGGAACUGAUUUGAGGCUUGGCAUAUAUAUAAGUAUUGUGGCGUAAUUGUCGAGAUAUAUGGAGAUAUUUAUUUAUGGUGGGUCACCCUACCAAUGCAGGGAUCGAACACCCGACCUCCAGACUAGAUAGCCAGUGUCUUACCGACUUAACCAACGUGAUCCCCGUUGUGGCUACAAUUCCUGGAUUUGAAGGUCAGGUAUGAUAUGAAACGAAUAUUUUGAACCGGUUCACCAAUGCAACCAAUCUGUGACGGGUUAACUGAUAGAGGGUUACAUCCUUGAUAUAAAGGUAGCUCAAAAUUCAUCUCUACAUGUACAUAGGCCAAGGGGGGAUCAUGUGGCUAAGUGGGUAAGACGCUGACUCGCUAGCCUUGAGGUCGGGUGUUCGAUCCCUGCAUUGGCCGAGAAAGUUCAUCCUGAUUUUCCGGUGUGGUUUCUCAUUGUCAGUGAUGCAGGACGGAGGGCCUGACGAGGACAGCUGUCUAGUCGUUUGGAUGGGACAAAAAAAAACAAGGUCCAGUGUACACAUUGGCAUGCACAUAAAAGAUCCCCUGGCAGUUGGAAUUCGAUACAAGAGUAGGCCAUAGCGCUGCUGCCCGGGCAAAAUUUCCCUCAUAGCACACUGUAUGGCGUAACCAUUUGCGUCUCUUCAAAAUAUUUCAAAUCUUUUGUCAUGGAUCAACCAUUGCAAAUAUCCGUGUUACAAUUAUAUUUGAAAUGUGUUAAACCAAUUCUGCAACACAUGUAAUAUUGGUGUAGUAUAUAUCUUUGUUUAUAAACCCACAUAUCAAUUUUGGCCCUGUUUGUCCGUACACUGGGUGUGAAAUGUGAAUCAUUCCGAUUGUGAUUGGACAAGCAUUAUCAAUAUACAGCUUUUCAGGACUUUGCCUUCCUUGGUUAAUUCUCCUUUUUUCAAAUGCAAUAGAUGCUGUGUUUAUUCUUAAUUGAUCUUUUUCAAAUUUGUGUUACACACUGGAAUCAUGAGAGGACGAAACCUAUCAAUAUUCAGUAUUCCACAACAUUCCAUUCCAGUGUCGGCCGAGAAAGUUCUUCGUGAUUUCCAGACUUGGUUUCCUCCCCUUGUCAGAGGUGCAGGACAGAGGGCCUGACAAGGAGGGACAGCUGUCUAGUCGUUUGGAUGGUACGAAUGACCGAGGUCCUGUGCACACAUUGGUUCGCACGUGAAAGAUCCCUUGGCAGUUUGAAUUCGAUAUAAGAGUAGGCUUUAGCGCCGCUGUCUGGAUAAAAUUCCAUAAUAGGACACUGUAUAGCAUAUUUCCAUGUCAUUAGCCCUGUCGGAAUAGGACAUUAAACCCCAUUUCAUUUCACUCAUUCCAAAGUUAACUCCUAUUCCAUCAAUACCUUGAGCAAAUAAGAUAGAGGCUAUAGGUUUUGGCCAAAUUUGGUCAAUAUCCCAGUUUUUUCUUUCUUAUAUGCAUAUCAACACUUUCAUAGCGCUAAUGUAGACCUUUUUCUUGAACAUUUUCCCUUGUCAGUGAUGCCGGACAGAGGACCUGACAUGGAUGGCUGACUAGUCAUACGGAAGGGACCAAAAAAAACCAAGGUACAGUGUAAACUCAAGUGUGUGUGUGUGUGAAAGAUCCCUUGGCAGUUGGAAUUUUAUAUAAGAGUACGCCAUAGCUCUGCACACUGUGUGGCAUAUGCCCGUCUUCAUUUCUCAAACAGCUGUGGAUAAAAACUGUUAAUAUUUAAAUGUGUAUUUUGUAUUUUAUAACAUUAUAUUUUUGUCUUUUAAAUAAAGUAUAUGUAUACA
Patella vulgata (common limpet) is the source of this 4826-nucleotide long non-coding RNA. RefSeq lists it as uncharacterized. The record is from RefSeq and is a predicted model, not a curated record. The transcript has 2 exons. NCBI's taxonomy places the organism in Eukaryota, Metazoa, Mollusca, Gastropoda, Patellidae.